CAGGCCCAGAGUGCAGUUGGGGGGCCCUCACUGUAUGCUGAGGGGAAAGCCCUUGUGCGGAGGAGGUGAGCCAGCAUCCUCCUAGGGAGCAGGGCAGGGGAUUCCUGCUCGUGACAGCAGCUGGGGGAGCAUGCAGACCCCUGGAAUGUGCAAAGCGUGUGUGCGUGGGUCCAUGUGGGUGUGCGUUCUCUAGUCAAUAGGUAACAAAUGCACAGAGAUGCUCAGGUAGGGUCUCUAGGGUGUUUAGAUAUGAGGAAUGGAACUUCCUCCUCGAACGCUCCAGGAGCUCUCAUCCACCUUCUGACGCCGAGUCAAGACUUGGCUAUUCCCAGAAGAUGAGACCAUGUGGAACGGAGGCAGCCCCGAUAACCCUUUAUCCUAUUUCUCUCAUCCCACUGGUGAUCUCCCAAAGCCCAGUGCUUGGGCGAGCGUGCUGAUUCUGCCUGGAGAGACGCACAGGAACGCCCCUCACCACAGGUACAUCAGGAUGAAGGUGCGCUUCCUCAGGCGCGGCGUGCGGAACAGGUCUGCAAAUGAAGGGCUCAGCUUUUCGGUGACAUCCUCUUCGAGGGAAAGCAUCUAGGAGGGAGGGAGAGCAUCAGCCACACUCACGCUGUCAUGAGCAGAGCCACCUGGGAGCCCCUGGGGAGGUGAGCCUUGCCACCACCGUGCUUCACACCCAUGACAAGGGGCACAGUUCUGCUCUUUCCCCUGGCAGCCCCAGACGAAUCUGCACCAGAACCCAGCCCCAGAUUCAGUGAUGUGAGAUACCCCUUCCUAGAUUUCACCUUUAAAUCAGCAGGAGGCAACUUCCCAUUCUUUUGAGCGAUGUGGUCCAUUAUCUUUAUUGCUUCAGUGUUUCUUUUUUGUGAUAACAGCCACCGAGGGGACUCCGGCACACACCUGCGAACACCACUCAUCACUAUCUGGCAUUUUCCUCGGUCUGACGUUCAGCCCUGAGCGGGGUGAUGCUGUUGCUCAGUGCAGCCUGCCCUCCCCACGUUGGGGCUGUAAUCCCUCAAGAGGAUGAGGACCUGGGGUCACUGUGCGCUAGCCCAUGUGGCCCAGGUCACAGCUCUGUGGGUCACUCAGACUCCUAGUGUCACCUAAGAUUUAUAGACCAAAAGGGAGCCAUCGCUUCCUAUGUAGCCUUCCUUCUGUGCAGCAGGGGCCUCAUCUCUCCUGGGGCAGCCUUUGUCCCCCACGGAAAACACUCACAGAGCAGAUGCUCCAUGUAUAUUACCCGAUGACACCAGGACAUCUCCAGGCAAUACAAGGGCUGUUGAACACUUCUCAAAAUAUUUCUCAAACAAAAUAAAAUGUAUUUACUGUCCUUUAAAAUCAAAU
This 1347-nucleotide long non-coding RNA is filed under the name Homo sapiens (human). RNAcentral's name for it is "HSALNT0116034". Lineage: Eukaryota; Metazoa; Chordata; Mammalia; Primates; Hominidae. The record is from RNAcentral.